This is a long non-coding RNA of Quercus lobata, 244 nucleotides long. RefSeq lists it as uncharacterized. NCBI's taxonomy places the organism in Eukaryota, Viridiplantae, Streptophyta, Magnoliopsida, Fagales, Fagaceae. The record is from RefSeq and is a predicted model, not a curated record. The transcript has 3 exons.
CAGGAGACUCCUAGGACAAGGUCUAGGAACGUGCUCCCUUGAAGAACUCCAACAGAUAGAAGAACAGUUAGAGAGGAGCGUAAGCAGCAUUAGAGCUAGAAAGGCUCAGGUUUUCAAGGAACAAAUUGAGCAACUAAAGGAAAAGGAAAAAGUCCUAGCAGCUGAAAAUGCAAGGCUAUGUGAGAAGGUGAACUUUUGCAAUUAUUAUUACUAGUACUAGUAUUCUUUUAUUCUUCUUGUUGAU